RNAcentral lists this ribosomal RNA (434 nucleotides) under uncultured Lachnospiraceae bacterium. Its description in RNAcentral is "bacterial SSU rRNA". It matches the Rfam family "Bacterial small subunit ribosomal RNA", at positions 341 to 792 of the family's 1533-position model. The record is from RNAcentral. Lineage: Bacteria; Bacillati; Bacillota; Clostridia; Lachnospirales; Lachnospiraceae.
ACGGAAGGCAGCAGUGGGGAAUAUUGCACAAUGGGGGAAACCCUGAUGCAGCGACGCCGCGUGAGCGAAGAAGUAUUUCGGUAUGUAAAGCUCUAUCAGCAGGGAAGAUAAUGACGGUACCUGACUAAGAAGCCCCGGCUAACUACGUGCCAGCAGCCGCGGUAAUACGUAGGGGGCAAGCGUUAUCCGGAUUUACUGGGUGUAAAGGGAGCGUAGACGGCAAGGCAAGUCUGAUGUGAAAACCCAGGGCUUAACCCUGGGACUGCAUUGGAAACUGUCUGGCUCGAGUGCCGGAGAGGUAAGCGGAAUUCCUAGUGUAGCGGUGAAAUGCGUAGAUAUUAGGAAGAACACCAGUGGCGAAGGCGGCUUACUGGACGGUAACUGACGUUGAGGCUCGAAAGCGUGGGGAGCAAACAGGAUUAGAUACCCUGGUA